This 494-nucleotide ribosomal RNA is filed under the name uncultured bacterium. RNAcentral's name for it is "partial 16S ribosomal RNA". It matches the Rfam family "Bacterial small subunit ribosomal RNA", at positions 28 to 507 of the family's 1533-position model. The record is from RNAcentral.
GACGAACGCUGGCGGCGUGCUUAACACAUGCAAGUCGAACGGAAAGGCCUGCUUUCCCUUGUGGAUUGCGGUUACUCGAGUGGCGAACGGGUGAGUAACACGUGAGUGAUCUGCCCCCAACUUGGGUAUAAGCCUGGGAAACUGGGUCUAAUUCCCGAUAGGACUGCAGGGUGGUGCCUGUGGUGGAAAACGAUUUUCUAGUGGUUGGGGAUGAGCUCGCGGCCUAUCAGCUUGUUGGUGGGGUAAUGGCCUACCAAGGCGGCGACGGGUAGCCGGCCUGAGAGGGUGGACGGCCACAUUGGGACUGAGAUACGGCCCAGACUGCUACGGGAGGCAGCAGUGGGGAAUAUUGCACAAUGGGCGGAAGCCUGAUGCAGCGACGCCGCGUGGGGGAUGACGGCCUUCGGGUUGUAAACUCCUUUCGACCGCGAGGAAGCCACCUGGUUGGAAGGGUGGUGACGGUAGUGGUAGAAGAAGCACCGGCUAACUACGUG